UGUUAAAAAAAUUCAUUCAUUUCUAAUACUAAAAACCAACUUGACUAACAGAAUAACCAAAUAGUGACACAUUAUGUGCCAUGUGUAUCUCAUAAAAAUGUAAAGAGAUUAAUUUUUAAUGGUAAAAAUAGAUGAAAUUUUUAAUA
This 146-nucleotide microRNA precursor is filed under the name Gossypium hirsutum (cotton). RNAcentral's name for it is "MIR7502 microRNA precursor family". It matches the Rfam family "MIR7502 microRNA precursor family". Lineage: Eukaryota; Viridiplantae; Streptophyta; Magnoliopsida; Malvales; Malvaceae. The record is from Rfam by way of RNAcentral.